Molecule: ribosomal RNA, 360 nt
Filed under: uncultured eukaryote
Lineage: Eukaryota
Description: partial 18S ribosomal RNA
Rfam family: Eukaryotic small subunit ribosomal RNA
Source: RNAcentral
CAAUAGCAUAUAUUAACGUUGUUGCAGUUGAAAAGCUCGUAGUUGAACUUUUGGUAGGAGCGACCUGGCCUUGGGCGCAUGCCCUUGUUUGCCGUGUGUCGUAUCUGGCCAUCCUUUUCCGUUUCGGCGGGAAUCCUUUACUGUGAGUAAACUGGAGUGCUCAAAACAAGACGUUUGUUUGGUACAUUAAAGCAUGGAAUAAUAAGAUAGGACCUGGUUACUAUUUUGUUGGUUUGCAUAGCUAGGUAAUGAUUAACAGGGACAGUUGGGGGUAUUCGUAUUUAAUUGUCAGAGGUGAAAUUCUUGGAUUUAUGAAAGACGAACGACUGCGAAAGCAUUUACCAAGGAUGUUUNCAUUAA